GAUGAACGCUGGCGGCGUGCUUAACACAUGCAAGUCGAACGAAGCACCUCUCCCGAAGAUUGACCCAGCUUGCUGUAGAUUGAUUCAUUUGAGGUGACUGAGUGGCGGACGGGUGAGUAACGCGUGGGUAACCUGCCUCAUAGAGGGGGACAACAGUUGGAAACGACUGCUAAUACCGCAUAGUAAGAAGAAUUCGCAUGUUUUCUUCUUGAAAGAUUUAUCGCUAUGAGAUGGACCCGCGUCUGAUUAGCUAGUUGGUAAGGUAACGGCUUACCAAGGCGACGAUCAGUAGCCGGCUUGAGAGAGUGAACGGCCACAUUGGGACUGAGACACGGCCCAAACUCCUACGGGAGGCAGCAGUGGGGAAUAUUGCACAAUGGGGGAAACCCUGAUGCAGCGACGCCGCGUGAGUGAAGAAGUAUUUCGGUAUGUAAAGCUCUAUCAGCAGGGAAGAUAAUGACGGUACCUGACUAAGAAGCCCCGGCUAACUACGUG
This 495-nucleotide ribosomal RNA is filed under the name uncultured bacterium. RNAcentral describes it as "partial 16S ribosomal RNA". It matches the Rfam family "Bacterial small subunit ribosomal RNA", at positions 28 to 507 of the family's 1533-position model. The record is from RNAcentral.